AGGCCUUUCGGGGUACACGAGCGGCGAACGGGUGAGUAACACGUGGGUGAUCUGCCCUGCACUUCGGGAUAAGCCUGGGAAACUGGGUCUAAUACCGGAUAUGACCUCCUAUCGCAUGGUGGGUGGUGGAAAGAUUUAUCGGUGCAGGAUGGGCCCGCGGCCUAUCAGCUUGUUGGUGGGGUAAUGGCCUACCAAGGCGACGACGGGUAGCCGACCUGAGAGGGUGACCGGCCACACUGGGACUGAGACACGGCCCAGACUCCUACGGGAGGCAGCAGUGGGGAAUAUUGCACAAUGGGCGAAAGCCUGAUGCAGCGACGCCGCGUGAGGGAUGACGGCCUUCGGGUUGUAAACCUCUUUCAGCAGGGACGAAGCGCAAGUGACGGUACCUGCAGAAGAAGCACCGGCUAACUACGUGCCAGCAGCCGCGGUAAUACGUAGGGUGCAAGCGUUGUCCGGAAUUACUGGGCGUAAAGAGUUCGUAGGCGGUUUGUCGCGUCGUUUGUGAAAACCAGCAGCUCAACUGCUGGCUUGCAGGC
RNAcentral lists this ribosomal RNA (539 nucleotides) under Rhodococcus sp. T7. RNAcentral's name for it is "bacterial SSU rRNA". It matches the Rfam family "Bacterial small subunit ribosomal RNA", at positions 73 to 628 of the family's 1533-position model. Lineage: Bacteria; Bacillati; Actinomycetota; Actinomycetes; Mycobacteriales; Nocardiaceae. The record is from RNAcentral.